This 266-nucleotide long non-coding RNA is filed under the name Ananas comosus (pineapple). RNAcentral's name for it is "long non-coding RNA (ACOM_LNC001024)". Lineage: Eukaryota; Viridiplantae; Streptophyta; Magnoliopsida; Poales; Bromeliaceae. The record is from RNAcentral.
AAGAUGAGGAAGAAGAUCUUCUCCUUGGUCCUCUUCUUCUUCUCCUUUCCUUUCUCUCUUUCUUCUUCUCUUCUUUUUUCUCUUUUCUUUCUUUCUUUCUUCUCCUCCCUUGCACGAUCAGAGAGAGGGAGAGAGAGAGAGAGGCUGAGGGAGUGAGAGAGAGAGAGAGAGAGAAGCCUCUCUAAUAACCCCUCAUAUGGCCAUUUUGCACAUAAACCCCUCCACUUUUCAUCUCUUACACAGCCCUCACUGGGCGUUCUGCACGU